AGGACGAACGCUGGCGGCGUGCUUAACACAUGCAAGUCGAGCGGAAAGGCCCUUCGGGGUACUCGAGCGGCGAACGGGUGAGUAACACGUGAGCAACCUGCCCUUAGCUUCGGGAUAGCUCCGGGAAACCGGAAUUAAUACCGAAUAUGACUGCGGCUGACAUCAGCCACGGUGGAAAGUUUUUCGGCCAGGGAGGGGCUCGCGGCCUAUCAGCUUGUUGGGGGGUAACGGCCCACCAAGGCGACGACGGGU
RNAcentral lists this ribosomal RNA (252 nucleotides) under uncultured bacterium. RNAcentral describes it as "partial small subunit ribosomal RNA". It matches the Rfam family "Bacterial small subunit ribosomal RNA", at positions 26 to 284 of the family's 1533-position model. The record is from RNAcentral.